UACAGAGGAUGCAAGCGUUAUCCGGAAUGAUUGGGCGUAAAGCGUCUGUAGGUGGCUUUUUAAGUCCGCCGUCAAAUCCCAGGGCUCAACUCUGGACAGGCGGUGGAAACUACCAAGCUGGAGUACGGUAGGGGCAGAGGGAAUUUCCGGUGGAGCGGUGAAAUGCGUAGAGAUCGGAAGGAACACCGGUGGCGAAAGCGGCGCGCUGGACCUCUUCUGACGCUGAGGCGCGAAAGCCAGGGGAGCAAACGGG
RNAcentral lists this ribosomal RNA (253 nucleotides) under uncultured bacterium. RNAcentral describes it as "partial 16S ribosomal RNA". It matches the Rfam family "Bacterial small subunit ribosomal RNA", at positions 524 to 776 of the family's 1533-position model. The record is from RNAcentral.